Molecule: long non-coding RNA, 1448 nt
Filed under: Crocodylus porosus (Australian saltwater crocodile)
Lineage: Eukaryota; Metazoa; Chordata; Crocodylia; Crocodylidae
Description: lncRNA (ENSCPRG00005003143.1)
Source: RNAcentral
CAGGAAAGUGUGAGAAACCCUGUAGUUAUGAAAUGACCAACCCCUGGGGGAUCUUCCUUCCUGACUCGCAUCCUGUGGAGACUAGCUGGUGCUUGAAGAUACUUUCUACCCCAUCCAAAAUGACUGGCCUGCAUCUGUCCCUGCUGGGAUGAUUCUGGAUAUCCAUGCCUGCAUCUGAUCCUUCCCUUGAAGCCCUGCUGUGCUUUCGGCUGCACUGAGGCCUGGUGGCAGCAAGUUCCACAGCUGGGGAGGAACAUCUAUUGCCUAAAUUGACUGGUUUUUUUGUUUGUUUGUUUGUUUCUUUUUUUUUUUUGUUUCAUUGAAUGUCAUGAUUGCUGGCUGGGUUGUAAUUUGAUUCCCUGCCCCCUACUCCUCCUACUCUCCCUUUCUCUCCUGCUUUAGCACCCAGCAGCAGCCAACUGGAAUGGUAUUCAGAUCCUUUCCUUCUUGCCAAUUCCAUUUAAAUUCCAGCUUCUCCACAGAUGGAAAUGUGCACAGGGGAAAUGACUUGCUGUAUCUGUCGAAAAGAAUGAAAAGGCCUUUUUAAGUUGUUUGGUGAUGUUUCCUGACAAGUUUGGGUUUUUUUUCCCUGGAAUUCCUCAGUAUUCUGCAGCUGUGACAUUUGUUUUUUUCAGUUGCAAAGCUCUCUGGAGCUUUGUCUGAGUGGCACUUUCUCCCCUCUCAUCAGCCUUCCUAUGGUGACAUACAAGAAGCCGUCUAAACCAAAGCUGCCUCCAAGGCCCCUCUUGGCAUGAAAGCUGCCUCCUUGAUUUCAGGGAUAAGAUUGAAGCUGCUGAAAAGUUUGAGAGAGACUGCUUGUUUCGAAGUGGUUCUGUCGCUCCUGGUCUUGGAGUUAUGUCAUGCCCAGACCACCACAGGGCUCCAUGAGGAUUUAUAGAAGAUGCCCCGGGUCUUGGCGCCUCUGGUGCUCCUUCUGGUGUGGCUAAUGAAGAUCGCUGCCAGCCCCCACUCCCUGAGGAUUGCACAAAUAAUCGGUCUCUGUGGAAAGUGCAUGCGGGUGCUGUUCAAGAGACAUUUGUUCCAAAGGGCUUUGAGGCAGGGCAUUCACCCCUUUCUGGAGCUGGUGUUUAUUGUUCUUUCUGCUGAAAAACUCAAAUGAAGAAACAUCUUUGUUCAGAGUCUUGGAGCUGCAAGCUUCCUUCUCUGGCCCGGUGGGCAGAACCGAGGGGACUUCUGCGCCGUGGUCUGAAGUGCAACUGCCAGCCUGGAUCUAGCUGGCGAGGGCACCAGGAGUAGCAGAGAUGCAUCAGCGUGGAUUUGUCUCGGGCAGGCUUGUCCAGCCUGUAUGUGAGCUGCUCUCAAUUGAGCCUAUGGAGGUAUGGGUUCUAGUUUUGACCUGAUCCAGGCCAUUAAUACUGUUGCCCCCACCAGCGCUGCUGUGCCCCAUCUUGCCCCUUGCCCUUUUUGCCCAUGUAGUCUGUGAGUUC